AGCUCUGCGAGUUUGCUCCCAUAUUGUUGCAGUUAAAACGCCCGUAGUCUGAAUUGGCCAGCAAUGGCCUUGUGUAUAAUUACGUUCACUGUGAACAAAUCAGGACGCUUAGAGUAUGGUUACAGGAAUGACUCAGCGCAGUAUGAUAUCUUUGUUUUUUUCGGAAAACAAGCUCAAAGAGAGCCAUCGGGGGUAGAUCUAUCCCAUGACGAGUGGUGGAAUACGGUGACUCAUGGGAGAGAAUCGGAGGCGAAGGCGUCUACCUAGAGGGUUUCUG
This 277-nucleotide ribosomal RNA is filed under the name Tetratrichomonas gallinarum. RNAcentral's name for it is "partial 18S ribosomal RNA". It matches the Rfam family "Eukaryotic small subunit ribosomal RNA", at positions 587 to 972 of the family's 1831-position model. Lineage: Eukaryota; Parabasalia; Trichomonadida; Trichomonadidae. The record is from RNAcentral.